AUUGCCCUGAUGUGGGGGAUAACCAUUGGAAACGAUGGCUAAUACCGCAUAAUAGCUUCGGCUCAAAGAGGGGGACCUUCGGGCCUCUCGCGUCAGGAUAUGCCCAGGUGGGAUUAGCUAGUUGGUGAGGUAAGGGCUCACCAAGGCGACGAUCCCUAGCUGGUCUGAGAGGAUGAUCAGCCACACUGGAACUGAGACACGGUCCAGACUCCUACGGGAGGCAGCAGUGGGGAAUAUUGCACAAUGGGCGCAAGCCUGAUGCAGCCAUGCCGCGUGUAUGAAGAAGGCCUUCGGGUUGUAAAGUACUUUCAGCAGUGAGGAAGGCGGAGUCGUUAAUAGCGGCCUCGUUUGACGUUAGCUGCAGAAGAAGCACCGGCUAACUCCGUGCCAGCAGCCGCGGUAAUACGGAGGGUGCGAGCGUUAAUCGGAAUUACUGGGCGUAAAGCGCAUGCAGGUGGUUUGUUAAGUCAGAUGUGAAAGCCCGGGGCUCAACCUCGGAAUUGCAUUUGAAACUGGCAGACUAGAGUACUGUAGAGGGGGGUAGAAUUUCAGGUGUAGCGGUGAAAUGCGUAGAGAUCUGAAGGAAUACCGGUGGCGAAGGCGGCCCCCUGGACAGAUACUGACACUCAG
This 630-nucleotide ribosomal RNA is filed under the name Vibrio sp. PAS39. RNAcentral's name for it is "bacterial SSU rRNA". It matches the Rfam family "Bacterial small subunit ribosomal RNA", at positions 125 to 750 of the family's 1533-position model. The record is from RNAcentral. Lineage: Bacteria; Pseudomonadati; Pseudomonadota; Gammaproteobacteria; Vibrionales; Vibrionaceae.